This 25-nucleotide non-coding RNA is filed under the name Mus musculus (house mouse). Lineage: Eukaryota; Metazoa; Chordata; Mammalia; Rodentia; Muridae. The record is from RNAcentral.
UAGCAGGGAUAGCUGAGGUGUUGGG